GUUGUGAGCACCUUCUGCUCCAUAUUUGUGUUUGUUCAGAAUUGUUGGCUAGAAACACCCGAACAUUCAUUUUGGAGUACUCCAAUAGCAGUAGUUGAUGAGAUGAAUGUGGGCAUCAACCGACCUCGACAGCAGCUCCAGGAAUAGCCUUCACCUGGGUGUGCCGUGUGCAGCACCACCACCACUAGUAGCAGCAGCUCUAGGAUAAGGCCUAGAGGUGGAGUGGAGGAGUGCCGUGUGUAGCAGCAGCACCACCAGUAGUAGCAGGAGCUCGGGAGAGGAGGAUCGCCUGGGCCUAGAAGUGGAGGCGCUUGGACCUGGGUGCAGUCUUGGAGGUGGAGGCGCCAGGAUCUGGGUGGAGGUGGAUGUGGAGGUUGAGGACAGGGCCGGAGGUGGAGGUCGGGGCGAGGCCGGAUGUGCCAUAUAUUAUGUAGUAAUGCCAAAUAUUAUGACAUGGAUGUGCUAUAUAUAUAUAAUGGGAUAUGGAUUAUGUUA
Hordeum vulgare subsp. vulgare (domesticated barley) is the source of this 495-nucleotide long non-coding RNA. RefSeq lists it as uncharacterized. Lineage: Eukaryota; Viridiplantae; Streptophyta; Magnoliopsida; Poales; Poaceae. The transcript has 2 exons. The record is from RefSeq and is a predicted model, not a curated record.